GAUGAAGAACGCAGCGAAAUGCGAUAAGUAAUGUGAAUUGCAGAAUUCAGUGAAUCAUCGAAUCUUUGAACGCACAUUGCGCCCGGUAGUAUUCUGCCGGGCAUGCCUGUUCGAGCGUCAUUUCAACCAUCAAGCCCCAGCGCUUGUGUUGGGGGCCUGCGGCUGCCGCAGCCCCCUAAAAGCAGUGGCGGGCUCGCUGUCACACCGGGCGUAGUAGAUUUUAUCUCGCUCAGGGCGUGCUGCGGGUUCCGGCCGUUAAAAAGCCUUUUUUACCCAAGGUUGACCUCGGAUCAGGUAGGAAGACCCGCUGAACUUAAGCAUAUCAAUAAGCGGAGGA
This 337-nucleotide unclassified non-coding RNA is filed under the name soil metagenome. RNAcentral describes it as "partial contains 5.8S ribosomal RNA, internal transcribed spacer 2, and large subunit ribosomal RNA". The stretch from base 1 to 120 matches the Rfam family "5.8S ribosomal RNA", at positions 35 to 154 of the family's 154-position model. The record is from RNAcentral.